AACGAACGCUGGCGGCAUGCCUAACACAUGCAAGUCGAACGAGACCUUCGUGUCUGGUGGCUCACAGGUGCGUAACGCGUGGGAACCUUCCCGUAGGUUCGGAAUAACUCCCCGUAAGGGGUGCUAAUACCGGAUAAUGUCUUCUAACCAAAGAUUUAUCGCCUUUGUGUGGGCACGAGUUGUAUUGGCUAGUUGGUAGGGUAAAAGCCUACCAAGGCGACGAUACAUAGCUGGUCUGAGAGGAUGAUCAGCCACACUGGGACUGAGCCACGGUGGAGACUCUUACGGGAGGGAGCAGUGGCGAAUACUGCAAUACCGCCGAAAGGAUGAUCGCGUACUGCUGCGUGAGUGCUGAAGGCCUUAGGGUUGUAAAGCUCUUUUACCCGGGAUGAUAAUGACAGUACCGGGAGAAUAAGCUCCGGCUAACUUCGUG
Molecule: ribosomal RNA, 433 nt
Filed under: uncultured bacterium
Lineage: Bacteria
Description: partial 16S ribosomal RNA
Rfam family: Bacterial small subunit ribosomal RNA
Source: RNAcentral